UCCCCUGUAGCUCAAUGGUAGAGCGUCCGGCUGUUAACCGGCAGGUUGGUGGUUCGAGUCCACCCGGGGGAGCCA
Molecule: transfer RNA, 75 nt
Filed under: Patescibacteria group bacterium
Lineage: Bacteria
Description: tRNA-Asn
Rfam family: tRNA
About the family: Transfer RNA (tRNA) molecules are approximately 80 nucleotides in length. Their secondary structure includes four short double-helical elements and three loops (D, anti-codon, and T loops). Further hydrogen bonds mediate the characteristic L-shaped molecular structure. tRNAs have two regions of fundamental functional importance: the anti-codon, which is responsible for specific mRNA codon recognition, and the 3' end, to which the tRNAs corresponding amino acid is attached (by aminoacyl-tRNA synthetases). tRNAs cope with the degeneracy of the genetic code in two manners: having more than one tRNA (with a specific anti-codon) for a particular amino acid; and 'wobble' base-pairing, i.e. permitting non-standard base-pairing at the 3rd anti-codon position.
Source: RNAcentral